Molecule: ribosomal RNA, 624 nt
Filed under: Enterobacter cloacae
Lineage: Bacteria; Pseudomonadati; Pseudomonadota; Gammaproteobacteria; Enterobacterales; Enterobacteriaceae
Description: bacterial SSU rRNA
Rfam family: Bacterial small subunit ribosomal RNA
Source: RNAcentral
GUAAUGUCUGGGAAACUGCCUGAUGGAGGGGGAUAACUACUGGAAACGGUAGCUAAUACCGCAUAAUGUCGCAAGACCAAAGAGGGGGACCUUCGGGCCUCUUGCCAUCAGAUGUGCCCAGAUGGGAUUAGCUAGUAGGUGGGGUAACGGCUCACCUAGGCGACGAUCCCUAGCUGGUCUGAGAGGAUGACCAGCCACACUGGAACUGAGACACGGUCCAGACUCCUACGGGAGGCAGCAGUGGGGAAUAUUGCACAAUGGGCGCAAGCCUGAUGCAGCCAUGCCGCGUGUAUGAAGAAGGCCUUCGGGUUGUAAAGUACUUUCAGCGGGGAGGAAGGUGUUGUGGUUAAUAACCACAGCAAUUGACGUUACCCGCAGAAGAAGCACCGGCUAACUCCGUGCCAGCAGCCGCGGUAAUACGGAGGGUGCAAGCGUUAAUCGGAAUUACUGGGCGUAAAGCGCACGCAGGCGGUCUGUCAAGUCGGAUGUGAAAUCCCCGGGCUCAACCUGGGAACUGCAUUCGAAACUGGCAGGCUGGAGUCUUGUAGAGGGGGGUAGAAUUCCAGGUGUAGCGGUGAAAUGCGUAGAGAUCUGGAGGAAUACCGGUGGCGAAGGCGACCCCCU